AGGAAAAGAUUAAUUAAAAUUAAGCUUCUAACUUAAAUUUUUAGCGGUGUGACUCCGUUACUUUCCUA
This 68-nucleotide transfer RNA is filed under the name Argulus japonicus. Its description in RNAcentral is "tRNA-Ser". Lineage: Eukaryota; Metazoa; Arthropoda; Ichthyostraca; Arguloida; Argulidae. The record is from RNAcentral.